RNAcentral lists this long non-coding RNA (687 nucleotides) under Triticum aestivum (bread wheat). RNAcentral's name for it is "long non-coding RNA (TAES_LNC021512)". The record is from RNAcentral. Lineage: Eukaryota; Viridiplantae; Streptophyta; Magnoliopsida; Poales; Poaceae.
AUUAAUACACAUGCAUUAGCCAUCACAUUAGCAAGUCUAUAGAUACAUGCCACUCUGUAGCUGAGAAUCAAUUAGAGAUUGAAAGCGAGAUCUGUUUUCGGUGGCCACUGUGCAUCAAUUGAGGAACUUUUUGUGGCUGCUCUCCACCGAAUAGCAAUUGAAUCUCAACAAGAUAGCUGUUGUUUGUGUUGAACCUAUAGCAGAAAGAUGAUGGGCCCUUGAUUGUGCCUGCCAAUAAAAUGCAUCAUCUGUGGUCCAGAAAUCAUGCCCUUCAGUCCUGCAAGCACAAUUAAGCAUCAAACCUCAUCUUCAUUUGUUGAAACAACUUAGCAGCCACUUCAGCUAACAUAGUUCCUCUGCGUAACAUAUUUUACAUUUUUCUGUAAAAGAACUUCACCUUCAACAAUGAUUGUUUGAGAGCAAGCAUGGGCAUCUGAGGAGUAGAAGGAGCAGCAGCAGAGGCGUGGGGAGAGAAGAAUUAGCAGCAGCAGGGUAGCUCGCUCAGGUGUCCAAAACUCCAGACACCAUCGGUCCUGCCGCCGGCCGGUCACCGGAGGCGCCACCGCCGGCGACCAUCUCCCUCACCUUGCGCCCCCCUCUCCUUCUCCUUUCUUCCUCUCUUUCCUAUCUCCCUCACGCCCUGCCUCUCCCUUUCUCUGGAUGAGAAGGACGCCGCCGCCACCGAAG